This is a long non-coding RNA of Dreissena polymorpha, 3179 nucleotides long. RefSeq lists it as uncharacterized. The transcript has 5 exons. NCBI's taxonomy places the organism in Eukaryota, Metazoa, Mollusca, Bivalvia, Myida, Dreissenidae. The record is from RefSeq and is a predicted model, not a curated record.
UGGCGAAAAAUACCUGUCUCGGUACGGUACGUCGCUAUCUUGUUUGUCAUGUGAUUACCUCUUCUGAUUAUAGAAGCCUACUGAUAGCAAUAUCACAUGUUGCUGUUGUUUAACAUGGUCGAAAUGUUUAAACUAAAUUAUAUUACAAUAAUAAACCCCGAUCGACUUCAAAAAUUUUAUCUGAUGUGGACACGUUCUAACGAAAUGAUUGACCUCCUUUAGAGAACUAUAAAGAAGGCCUUUAAGUGAAGGCAAAUAAACAGAUGUACAGAUUGAAAGUUGGACAGACAGACAGCAAUAACAGAUGGACAGGAAACCUAUGGUCCUUUCCAGUGAUAUUGAUUUCCACAGAAGAAUUGAAUGAACAAGACUAUUGUGUAAUAUAUAUGGAGCACAUCUGCGAUCCGAAAAAGCUAGUGUGCGGUCACAUUUUCUGUAGAUACUGCAUCGACCAAUCACUAAGUUAUAAGCCAUGUUGUCCUACAUGUCAACGGGUAUGUGGAAUAAUCACAGGUGAUCAACCACCAGGGACGAUGACUGUUCAACAAAUACAUGGGUUUUGUACUGGAUACGAAAUAGUUGUAAAAAUUAGCAUCAGAUACGAGUUUUUUGAAGGACGACAAUUGGCAACACAUCCAUCUCCUGGUAAAAUGUAUAAGGGGAUAACCAAAACUGCAUUUCUUCCUGACAAUUAGCAAGGACGUAAUAUUUGCAGAAUGCUUAAAGUUGCCUUUGCAAGGAAACUUGUUUUCACCAUUAGAAACUCACGCACAACAGACCAGGAUGGAGUGAUAAUUUGGGACAAUUUCCCCUCAAGACUAACUAUAGGCCAUAUUCCCGGUAUGAUUUCUUAAAAAUAUGUUAUAUUUAAGAUACAAUUAUACAAUUAUGAAAUAAGAUACACAUACAUGUGAUGAAUUGAAAGAAGAUGCAUUUUGUUUGAUUAUAUAAUUAUCCAUCGAACGUUAUAUUACAUAUAUUUUUUUACAUAAUAGUAUAUUGAUGGUUUGAAUGAAAACAAUUAUCACAAAAGUAAAAUUUUCGUUUGAAUGAAAAACCAAAAUAUCAACAAUGUAAAUUAUGGUUCAAUAAUCAUUUUAAAAUAAUUGUUUCCAUUAAAGGUUUGGUUAUCCCGAUCAAACCUAUCUGGACAGAGUGACCGAAGAGCUCAAAGCUCAAGGUAUUAUGCUGGAUGAUAUUAACCCAACAGAUAAACUGGAAGGAAUCAUAACAACGGAUUGAUUUGUAAUAUUAUGUUUUUAUUAUGUUAAGGGGCAGCGCUUGACUGUCAACAAUUGUACAAUAUAAGGGUAACAACUUAUUGACGUGUGUGUUAGAACAUGAGAUCAGAUAUAUUAGCAUUGUUUGUGUACAAAUAUAUAGUAGUAUGUUUAGUAGUUGUGGCUCCGGCUUGAUGUGAGGUAACAAUAUUUUGAGAAUGAAGAUACUUAAAGCCUUAAAUCAUAGCAAGAAUGUUAUAUUGGCAUGAUAUUUCGAUAUCAUAAACCGCAGUGGAACGGUAACUAAAAUUUCUGGACGAUUAUGUAAUAAUAGGCAAUUGAAAGAAUUAUUUAUGUUUUAAUUGGUUGGCAUCUUUGUUAAAUUCAAUCUUGAUUAUGUGUUUAUUCUACUGUCGCAUUUGCUGGUUUAAGGUUUACUGUGUUGUUUUGUUUUGUUCAAACAUGUUAAAUUAAAUAAAUACAUUAGAGCUUUUCAGACUCACACACGAGUUUGAAAGUUUAAGCUGAGUAAGGUAUAUGACAGUUUUAACGUUCAUGGUUUUAUUUAAAUUUGUAAUUUAGUGAUCAGAGUAUUUUGAUAUGUAAAAUAGUGAUACGUGUUUUAAGUUGAUUGUCGAUUUUGUUUCCAUUUAAUAAUUUAGUUGAACGAUUUUGUUCUGUAACAUUCAAUACCAAUAUCUCUAUGUUCGCACUGUUUUGCAAAAGUCCACAAUAAUUGAAUUAUAAUAGAAUCUUGUUUGUAAAACAAUAUUCGCAUCAUCAGAUGCUUGAUUGUCUCGUGUUGACUAAACAGUAGGAUUGCUUCGUUUUUAUAAAGAAGGUGAACCUGACAUGGCCUGAAUACUUUAUCAUCGUAUAGGACAGCAAAAGUGUUCCAGAAACUCCAGCGGCUAAUCUGCAUGCAUACAAAACAAGCUUUUUGUAUGAUAAAAUUAUAUAGUGACUCAAAUGAUAUAUUUGCAUUGGCUUUGAUAUCAAUAUUUUUGUAUGACCAUUUUGGGUGGUCAGGUUGAUAGACAAGAUUGCAACAGAAAUGCUAGAAUUAAAAAUAUCUUGAGUGAUGAAAACGCAAUGCAAUAAAGCCUUUGUUCCAUAAUACAAUACUUAAUUAUUCAUAAUUAUUUAUUAAUUCACCUUUAUUUAUUAUAAUAACAUAACAACUUUGUAAAACGAAAAUGUAUUAUGUAAGAAGCACUAUUUUCACUCCAUGUAUUUUAAACGUCUGCACAUAAUCAAACGUAUAACGUAUUAAUCGUCGAUUGCCAGUCAUUAGUAAACGAGAUGUACGCUAUGGCAUGAUGUUUUAUGAGUGCUAAAGAAUGAUUACAAGUUUGUGUUAACUGCUAUAAUAACAUAUGGACAUACACGUAUGUAUUUAAAACAUGAUAAUGCUAUAAGUUACAUUGAUAAAAGGACUUUUCGAUUAAUCAUUUGUUUUCUUUCACCUUGGGAUUGAUCGGUGAAUAGGGGUUUACAUAUAACACGUUAAAGUGUAUUGAAAAUAGGCAUGUAAUAGACCUUGAUUCUUGAUUGGCUUUAUAAAUCCUAUAUGGAAGUACACGUUGUUGCUAGUAUAAAUAACGCGUUUGUUUGAUUUAAUGUUUUAGCGUGUUCAACUUUAUUAAAAGGUUCUAUUUCAUAAACAAAGAUUCUAUUUUAUCAACAAAAGUUAAUAAAUCUUACUGGGUAUAUGGCCUAUAGUCAGUCUUACGGUGGAUAUCAUUCCAAGUUAUCAAUCCAUUGUGGCCUGUUGUUUGUGAGUUUCCAAUGGUGAAAACCAAUUUCCUUUCAAAGGCAACCUUAAGCAUUCUGCAAAUGUUACGUCCUUGGUCAUUGUCAUUGAACAUUAACCAGAUUGUACUUUGUAUAAACAUGGAAAUCAUUCUGCUUGAUUGCACGUCGGAGUAAUGGAACUUGGUCCGAGACCUCACUCAAUGA